This 443-nucleotide ribosomal RNA is filed under the name uncultured bacterium. RNAcentral describes it as "partial 16S ribosomal RNA". It matches the Rfam family "Bacterial small subunit ribosomal RNA", at positions 338 to 795 of the family's 1533-position model. The record is from RNAcentral.
CCUACGGGUGGCAGCAGUGGGGAAUAUUGGGCAAUGGGCGCAAGCCUGACCCAGCAACGCCGCGUGAAGGAAGAAGGCUUUCGGGUUGUAAACUUCUUUUGUCAGGGACGAAGCAAGUGACGGUACCUGACGAAUAAGCCACGGCUAACUACGUGCCAGCAGCCGCGGUAAUACGUAGGUGGCAAGCGUUAUCCGGAUUUACUGGGUGUAAAGGGCGUGUAGGCGGGGAAGCAAGUCAGAUGUGAAAACCACGGGCUCAACCUGUGGCCUGCAUUUGAAACUGUUUUUCUUGAGUGCUGGAGAGGCAAUCGGAAUUCCGUGUGUAGCGGUGAAAUGCGUAGAUAUCUGGAGGAACACCGGUGGCGAAGGCGGCCACCUGGACGACAACUGACGCUGAGGUGCGAAAGCGUGGGUAGCAAACAGGAUUAGAUACCCUUGUAGUC